AUGGCCGACGCGGGUCAAAGUGUAGUAUCUGUUCUUAUCAGCUUAAUAUCUGAUACGGGGUGCAUUUGGACUGAAGAUAUUAAGCUUAUUUUUACAAGUUGGCGAAGUGCACACAGCGCUGUGUAUGGAUGUUGUAUGUUGGUCCCUCGUUUUACACGCUGUUAUUAAAUGGUGCAGACAACGUCCUCU
This is a small nuclear RNA of Dermacentor silvarum, 189 nucleotides long. RefSeq annotates it as U2 spliceosomal RNA. The record is from RefSeq and is a predicted model, not a curated record. NCBI's taxonomy places the organism in Eukaryota, Metazoa, Arthropoda, Arachnida, Ixodida, Ixodidae. The transcript has a single exon.